This is a long non-coding RNA of Cyprinus carpio (common carp), 1259 nucleotides long. The record is from Ensembl. Lineage: Eukaryota; Metazoa; Chordata; Actinopteri; Cypriniformes; Cyprinidae.
UUACUGCUGUCUGUCAAGCUGAUGAUGGUAAGAGAAUAAAAUUUUCCAUAGAAAGUGUGAGAGAAUUUAGAGGAGGGACUAAAUCUGAGAUGAUGAAAACAUGGUCAAAUCUGAUUCAUAGAUAAACAAAACAUGUGGCUCUUAAAAUACCCAGUAUAAGAGCUUUUGACUCUUAGUGUGAUUCAAAAUACAGAUUUACUGUUUGAACAGUUUACACAAUAGGAAGUGAAAUCCAUUAUGCUCAGAGAGCAGUUAAAAAAAUAAAAAUAAAAAACCUGCCCAUUAAUGUGCUCUCUUAAGUAAAACAAUGUGUUCAUACAGAUAAGUGCAAAAUCUCAUUUUCAGUCAUGACUACAGGAUCUUGUUUUCUGCACUGAUUAUAUCUGCUGCACAUGAUUGAAAGAAACAUUCAGGAUGAGACUGCUUGCAGAGAUUGCUGUAUUGUUCUGCUUUUAGUAAAUACAUUUUGUAUUUAUACUGCAGUUAUGAUUUUAAUAAAUGAUAAAAUAUCUGACUUUCCCAUGGCUAGAUCAAAUUCUAAAUGUAACAUACAAAAUAUAUAAUGCAGUGAUUUUAUUUAUGAAUAGGUUCUCUAAUGAAAGACUAUAUUUAUUGUAUGAUCGUCAUGGGCAGAUUUUCAUGAGAUCUCAAAAAAUAAAAUUUUUAUAAUAUAUUUGUUGUUGUUUUUCAUUUCCUCUAUUAUAUGAUAUGCAUUGUUAUUUUUCAGAUAUCAUUGUAAGCUGUGAGAAUGUGACUGAAUUUGUGGGGAAAGAAGUAACUCUCACCUGCAGCGCCUCUCUGCAGAACACUGAAUGCUGCAUUAUAAAGUAUAAGUUUCAAUACCCUGAGAUCUUUAAUGACUCCGCAAUCUGUCGUCAAGAUGUUCUUGUGAACUCCUGUGAACAGAGAAACAGUUUCACAUGCAGCUACACUCCAACUACAGCGAUGACAGAACAAUUCAGAUUCUUUGUGCAAACAAACUGUGGAGUGAAAAAAGCAGAAAUCUUCACUCUUGAUGCAGUUUCCUCAGGACAUGUGAACCCAGAGUCAGCACCAAGAUUCAAGAGUACUGUCAUCACUGUGGUUGUGGUUGGUUUCAUCAUCAUCCUCAUCGUCAUGAUGGCGAUCAUUUGCAAAACUUCACCAAACUUUGUAGAUGCCGGAACUGGAUGUUACUGAGAGUCAGACAUGAUGAGGACAACAAUCUUCCAGGAAUUGAGAUAUUAUAGCAAUGAGUUUUGUUCAUUGUGACUUUUCAU